Molecule: unclassified non-coding RNA, 180 nt
Filed under: uncultured Hysterangium
Lineage: Eukaryota; Fungi; Basidiomycota; Agaricomycetes; Hysterangiales; Hysterangiaceae
Description: sequence contains ITS2
Source: RNAcentral
AGAGAGGAGUCGAACGCCUUCUAGUAAGGGGUUCGGAUUUGGACGCUGUCGGACCUCGGUCCGGCUCGUCUCGAAAUGCAUUAGCCGUCACCCAACCUCGUAGACGAACGGUGUGAUAAGUGAUCGCCAGAGUCUCGCGUGGGUAGGGUCGGCUUCCAGUCGUCUUCGGACAAUUUGUCG